Molecule: ribosomal RNA, 497 nt
Filed under: uncultured bacterium
Lineage: Bacteria
Description: partial 16S ribosomal RNA
Rfam family: Bacterial small subunit ribosomal RNA
Source: RNAcentral
GAUGAACGCUGGCGGCGUGCCUAAUACAUGCAAGUCGAGCGAACGGACGAGAAGCUUGCUUCUCUGAUGUUAGCGGCGGACGGGUGAGUAACACGUGGAUAACCUACCUAUAAGACUGGGAUAACUUCGGGAAACCGGAGCUAAUACCGGAUGAUAUUUUGAACCGCAUGGUUCAAAAGUUAAAGACGGUCUUGCUGUCACUUAUAGAUGGAUCCGCGAUGCAUUAGCUAGUUGGUAAGGUAACGGCUUACCAAGGCAACGAUGCAUAGCCGACCUGAGAGGGUGAUCGGCCACACUGGAACUGAGACACGGUCCAGACUCCUACGGGAGGCAGCAGUAGGGAAUAUUCCGCAAUGGGCGAAAGCCUGACGGAGCAACGCCGCGUGAGUGAUGAAGGUCUUCGGAUCGUAAAACUCUGUUAUUAGGGAAGAACAUAUGUGUAAGUAACUGUGCACAUCUUGACGGUACCUAAUCAGAAAGCCACGGCUAACUACGUG